CAAUAGCGUAUAUUUAAGUUGCUGCAGUUAAAAAGCUCGUAGUUGGAUUUCGGGUGGGAAUGGCCGGUCCGCCGUUUCGGUGUGCACUUGCUACGCCCACCUUGCUGCCGGGGACGUGCUCUUGAGUUCACGCUCGGGACACGGAGUCGGCGAGGUUACUUUGAGUAAAUUAGAGUGUUCAAAGCAGGCCUACGCUCUGAAUACAUUAGCAUGGAAUAACACGAUAGGACUCUGGCCUAUCUUGUUGGUCUGUAGGACCGGAGUAAUGAUUAAGAGGGACAGUCGGGGGCAUUCGUAUUUCAUUGUCAGAGGUGAAAUUCUUGAAUUUAUGAAAGACGAACUACUGCGAAAGCAUUUGCCAAGGAUGUUUUCAUUAA
RNAcentral lists this ribosomal RNA (377 nucleotides) under uncultured eukaryote. Its description in RNAcentral is "partial 18S ribosomal RNA". It matches the Rfam family "Eukaryotic small subunit ribosomal RNA", at positions 592 to 976 of the family's 1831-position model. The record is from RNAcentral.